CAGCAGCCACGGUAAUACGUAGGGUGCAAGCGUUAAUCGGAAUUACUGGGCGUAAAGCGUGCGCAGGCGGUUUGUUAAGACAGAUGUGAAAUCCCCGGGCUCAACCUGGGAACUGCAUUUGUGACUGGCAAGCUAGAGUGUGGCAGAGGGGGGUGGAAUUCCGCGUGUAGCAGUGAAAUGCGUAGAUAUGCGGAGGAACACCGAUGGCGAAGGCAGCCCCCUGGGCCAACACUGACGCCCAUGCACGAAAGCGUGGGGAGCAAACAGGAUUAGAUACCCGAGUAGUCCCUGUCUCUUAUAC
RNAcentral lists this ribosomal RNA (301 nucleotides) under uncultured bacterium. RNAcentral describes it as "partial 16S ribosomal RNA". It matches the Rfam family "Bacterial small subunit ribosomal RNA", at positions 509 to 807 of the family's 1533-position model. The record is from RNAcentral.